Molecule: long non-coding RNA, 531 nt
Organism: Boleophthalmus pectinirostris (great blue-spotted mudskipper)
Lineage: Eukaryota; Metazoa; Chordata; Actinopteri; Gobiiformes; Gobiidae
Exons: 4
Source: RefSeq, a predicted model, not a curated record
CUUUUUGCUGUUGACAUGGAGCUUUAGUCUGUUCAAGUAACUUUAAUGUCAACAUUCAAAACAACACCGUGAUAAUUACGCAAAUAUGUCCAAUGACUUAACUACUGUAAUUGCUGUUUAUGUUAGCAAAGAAACACUUGGUUAACUUCAUGUCUAUCGUCUGUCGGUGGCUAACCAAACACUACCGUGCUACCAAUACUGCUAGUGAACCAAAUGCUCUUUUAUCACGAAUCUAAAAAUACGAUUCAAUAAAUCACCGGCCAUUUUGGCAGUUAUUCGACAAGCCAUCCUAACAGCGGCAGACCACACAGUGACAGGCUCUGAGGGGAGACUGCAGGCUGAGUCACAGAUGUGAAUGGACUGGAGGCUCACCGCGCCACUCAUCUGACGAAAACCACUACGCAAACAAGCUCCCAUUCACAACGACACAGCUCAAAACACCAGGAACAAUGUGUGCAGAGGAGCAGGCUGACAGUGGAGGAUGCUGCCUGUCUCCAUUAUCUUUAUGGUUUAUGCCUGGGCCAGACGGAC